Long non-coding RNA from Neltuma alba, 95 nucleotides. RefSeq lists it as uncharacterized. The record is from RefSeq and is a predicted model, not a curated record. NCBI's taxonomy places the organism in Eukaryota, Viridiplantae, Streptophyta, Magnoliopsida, Fabales, Fabaceae. The transcript is spliced from 3 exons.
GACGGUGGCGCCGGAAGGCGAGGGAGGAUAGAGGAUUGGCACAUUUUGGGUUUGGAAGGAGAAGGGUGUGGGGAGAUCACUACGGCUUUCUCAAC